CCUGGGGUCAGCAGGGCCAGCACAGGGACACUCCCUGGUGUGGAACACCCUGGGAUGAUCCUCCCCAGAGCAGGGGACCCUGGAGGGUGCUGGGCUGAGGGUGAGCUCUGCUGGGCACCAGCCAACACCAUCCUUACCCUCAACAGGCACUGGGACAAAUCCACUCUGUUCUGGAAGCAGGGACGUGCCCUGGAGCAGUUGCUGCUGUCCAAAGGCUGUGGGGGCGUUUGUGUGGCUCAGAGCUGGCCAAAAGCUGAGGCUUUGCCCUGGGACAGGGAUUCCUGUUUGAAGAGGGAAGAGAAAAUGCUGUCAGUUGAUAUUUGUGUCUGUGAAAGUUUGGGAAGUGUUUGAUCAGAGUGUGCAGGUUCUCCCCUCAAAGUGACCCUGCUGUGGUUCUGAGUGAGAGAGCAAACAGGAACACUGUGACAGCUCACUCCCAGUGUGACAAACCACAUUUCCCCCUCAGUCCAUGACUGUUUUCUCCUUGUUCUGGUGCCAGGGAGGCCGAAGGGCGUGAAGGAGCAGGAUGUUUACAUCUGUGAUUACCGCCUGGAUAAAUCUGCUCACCUCUUCUACAAGAUCCACCGCAACCGCUACCCCGUGUGCACCAAGCCCUACGCCUUCGACCACUUCCCCAAGAAACUCACACCCAAGAGGGAUUUCUCUCCUCAUUAUGUGCCAGACAACUACAAGAGGAACGGAGGCAGGUCAUCCUGGAAAUCGGAUCGCUCGAAACCACAGAUGAAAGACUUAAACCAGGAGGAGGAUUCGCUGCCGCUGAUGGAGGAGGUGCUGGGGGCCCCCGAGCAGGCUCCAGGGGAGCUGCCCAGCCCCGAGGAGCCCCACAAGGAGCCCGUGGCCAGCGAGGGCUGCGAGGCCGACAAGAAAGGGGACGAGAGCCCCUCGGACACGAGGCCGCUCUGCAGCCCCGAGGAGCGGCGGCACCUCCAGAGGGAGAGGCUCAACCAGAUCCUGCUCAACCUCCUCGAGAAAAUCCCAGGGAAAAACGCCAUCGAUGUCACGUACCUGCUGGAGGAGGGCUCGGGCCGGAAGCUGCGGCGCCGCACGCUGACCAUGGCCGAGAGCAGCUUCAGGAAGUGACCCCCGAGGGGCAGCCGAGCUCUGGGCUCUGGCUGGGCUGGGCAAGGACAGAGGGCAGCAGCAGCAGCAAACGGACAAAAUACAAACAGCAGCACCUGGGGGGCCGGGCUGGCACGGUGCCCACCCUGCUCUGCAGUGCUCUUGGUGUGUGUGUUGGUGGGCGUGCCUUGUAUUGA
RNAcentral lists this long non-coding RNA (1277 nucleotides) under Zonotrichia albicollis (white-throated sparrow). RNAcentral's name for it is "lncRNA (ENSZALG00000011727.1)". The record is from RNAcentral. Lineage: Eukaryota; Metazoa; Chordata; Aves; Passeriformes; Passerellidae.